UGCAGCCUGAGCAGGUCCCGUGGGCUCCUCGGCUGUGCCUUGAGGAGGGGGAGGUCCCUUGUCCGGGCCUGGGAGUCCAGGUACGGGGAUUCCGACUCCGAGCCUGUGCUGGACACAGUGCCCAUCAGCAUGCGCUACCCCGAUGGCCACAACCUUGCUUCUCUCUUCUGACGGUGACAUGGCACUGGGAGCCGAACAGAAAUAGAGCUGCAGGGAUCUGUUCCAGUCCGCAGGCCAGGCCUUGACAAGUCACCCAGGCAAGGGGCCCAUGUGCUCAUCUCGCGGGCUCGUCCCCCUGUUUCCUGCUGAGCCCACAGGCUGGCUGUUCAGGGGAGAGACUUCUGCGGAAGGUGCGGGCGCACUGCUCAAAGCUGAAAAGCCUGCUCUGUCGGGUUGCCGGAUUUAGCAAUAAAAAUAAAAGAAAAAUGCAGCACGCCCAGUUAGAUGUGAAUUUCAGAUAAGGACUAACUUGGGUAUAAGUAUAUCCCACAUAUCGAAUGGGAUACACUUAUACUGAAACAUCGGUUGUUUACCUCAAGUUCAACUCUAACUUGGCAUCUUGUAUUUUAUCUGGCCACCUCCUACCCGUCUUUGUCGCCUUGCCAGCCACUCACCCUCAAUAGCUGGACCGUGAGUCCUGCAGGCAAGAAUCCUGUCCCUCUCUCCAGGCCUCCCGCUGUGUGCCCACCUUCAGCAGGGAGCCUGAGCCGGCUCAGGGGCUGGAUACAUACAUACUCUCUGGUGGGACAGGCCAAGGGGACCCACCCUGAGCCGGGGGAAGAGCUGCAUGUGGACCUCGAGCCGAUUUCUGUGAAGACCAGUGCGAAUUGCUGAGAAGACUGAGAUGCCGGCUCUUUGGUUCAAGAGGUACUUUUUAACUGUCGUAGAACAGCUCUGACUUCCUGGUUGCCUACCGCACACGGAGCUCUACCAUGUUUUUAUAGGUCAGCGCUCACAACAGCUCUGCUGGGCAGCCGUGGUUUUUACACCUUUGAUGGGGUAACUGGGGUUCAGAGAGGGGCGUACCUGGCUGCAGGUCACACGGACAGGAGCCCACAGCUGGCUAUUCUCCAGCCAGACCCAGGGGUGCCCCCCAUCCGGUGCUGGCACGGGGGGGGGGGCUGCUUCGGCGAAGACUCAGGUGUGAGUGGCGCACUGACGGUGAGAACACUGUGUGCCCUCGGGAGCCACCUCCGCUCCCGGGUGAGCUGUGCCGUUACCGUCAGUCUCACCUCUGCAGCUUGUUGCUCAGUAAAGCCUGGUGCACAGGAGAGUUCCCCACUCAGAAAUUUUCAAUGGAGGAGGCCUGGAGUGAAUGAGAUUCUGCUGAGCUUCAACUCCCCACUGGGCAGGGAGGGGUCAAGUACCUGGUGAAGGGGCACCACGGGGCACUCAGCCAGGACAGCAGUUCAGACCCAGCGCCCACCAUUUCUGAACUCGGCGACUUUGGGGAAGCCACUUCCUAGGUUUUGCCAUCUCUCAAGAAGGAGUGAAACGAACUUGGCCACCCCAGGUUCCCAAGAAGUGCCAGCUGUUGAUGCUGCUGCUACGGAGGGUGAUGAAGACAGGCCGCAGCCACCUCUUCCCUGGCGGGCCCGCUGGAGUGAGGCCCAGAGCCUCACGCCCCGAGGAGCCCUCGGCACCUUUGCAGAAUCCAAAGUCUGGAUGCACCACAAUUUAUUUAUCCAUUUACCUGCUGAAGGACAGCUUGUUUGCUUUCAAGUUUUGGCAAUUAUGGAUGAAGCUUCUACAAGCAUCUGUGCACAGGCUUUAGUGUGCACAUGACUUUUCAACUCCAAGGAUCAUGACUGCAUGGAUUGUAUGACAAAAAUAUGUUUAAUUUUGUAAGAAACCACCAGCCCGCUUUCCAGAGGGGCUGCACCAUGUUGAACUCCCACCAACAACGAACGAGAGCUCCUGUUGCCCCGUGUCCUCGCCGGCAUUUGGUGCUGUCCGUGUUCUGGAUUUUGGCCAUUCUAAUAGGUAUGUAGUGGUGAAAAUGAAAAAUUUUAAAAAAUUCCAUUUACAAUAGCACAAAAGAGCAUAAAAUACUUAGUAGUAAUAAAUUUAACAAAAGAAUGAGUUUUGAAAAGUCCUAAGAUGAAUGGGAGGAGAUAGUACGUUCAUGGAUCAGAAAACUCCAUGCGGCUGAGAGGUCGGUUCUCCCCGACCGCCCUGCAGGUUCAGCACAGCCCCCGUUGUAACCCCAGCAGCCUCGGGAAAACACACAAAAUGUCAGGCUGAUUCUAGUGCUGACGUGGACAUUUGAAGGACUUAAAGCAGCCGAAAAACUUGUUCUGUGAUGAACUUACGCCACCUGAUUUCGAGAUCCAGGCAAGGCGAGUAGACGGGCCUGACCGACUAGAGCGCCGGCGGCAGGCCCGCGCUUUUCUGGCUCCUGGAUUUUUGAUGAAGGGGUCACAGCAUUUUCAUGGGAAAAGAAGUCUUUUCAGCAGAUGGUACCAGAUCUACUUGACGUCCAUCUUGAGAAAAUGAACCUUGACCUUCCACCUUAUACACAUUUCAUUCACAGUGGAUCAGGAUCUAAACAUAAAAAUUAAAACUAUAAAGCUUCUGGGACGCAGGUGACAGACACAAGGCCCCGGGGGCUGAACCCAGCACCGCCCCCCUCCCCCCGCCUGGUUUAAUCCAGAACCUUGUUUCUACCUGGCAGCAGCACCGAGCUCCUUGCCCCUAGUUAAGGAGUAGUUACAAUUAUACAGGCCUAAAAUUACAGUCGGCCCUUUGAAGGCAACUGCAAGGCUGAUGUGGCCCCCGGUGAGAAUGAGUUCAACACCCCAGUUCUAGGAGAAGCCGCAGGAGAAAAUCUUCAUCACCCGUGAGCUGGACCAAGUUUCUUAGACAGGACACAGACGGCACUCACCAUAAGAAAAUCAACAAUUCGACCUCACCAAAGUCGAACACGCCUGCUUACUGUUAAGAAAGUGAAAUGGGAAACCACACACUAGAGAUGGGCGGGUGUCUAGAUGAGACAGACGAACCUACAGCGCAGUGGUCCAAGGGCACCUGCCUCCACUUCACAGAGGAAGGGGUGCCCAGGCGAGCGGGCACAUUUAAAAGUGCUCGACGUCAUCGGUCAUCUGGGAAAUGCCAAUUAAAGUCCACGAGGUACUACUACAAAAUCUCACAGUGAAGGUGUUUUAUUAUAUUAUUCCCUCCCUCAUUAAGAUAGUUUAUGAUUAAAAUUUUACGACUGACAACAAGAAAUGUUGGUGAGAACGUGGAACAAGUGGAAUGCUCAUAAAUUGCUGAUGGGAACACAAAAUGUCACAAGUACUUUGGAAAAAGUUUCACUGGUUUCCUAUAAAGUGAGGCACACACUUUCCCUAGAGCUCAGUAAUUCCACUUCUAGACAUUUUCUCAAAAGAAAUAAGCGCACACGUCCCCAGAAAAGUUUGUAUGGGAAUGUUUAUAACAGCUGUACUUACGAUGCCCCAACUGGAAACUACCCAAAGGUCCAUCAAAUGAGGGGAUGUCCCAGUUGUACUGAUGGCCACACUGGAAUCACGUGUGCUGUGUUGCGAUGGCUGUAUGUUGUGACACAAGUCCUGCUGCUAUAACAACACCAACCAGCCCAGGGUUGACAUGGUGGCUCCAUAGUGUCAGGGGCCCAGACUCGUACUCACUUGCUCUUUUGCCAUCCUCAGUACACAGCUUCUACCUCGUGAUGUGAAACGGUUGCUGUUGUUCCUGCUGUUGCAUCUUCAUUCCAGCCAGCAGAAGGAGAGAUGGGAACAAGGGCCCCUCUUCCUUUUAAGGCAGGACAGGAGGUUGCACGCUUCACUUCCAUUCACAUGCCACUAGCCAGAGCCUGGUCACACCGGCACCCUUAAUUACAAGGGAAGCUGGAGAAUGUGUGUUUUCUUGGGCAGCCAGGAACAUUUCUGUCUUAGAAGCUGGCCACCAUACUCUCUAGACCCCUGAGAGCAAGCCCUGCCUCAUCCGCUUGGGGUUGCCCCAGGGCCCUGCACAGCGUGGAGUGGGGGUGAAGUCUGAGCUCAGUAAGAAUUACUUGGAAGAAUUAAUGAGGAAAUACAGCAAGUCUCUCCUAAUAACAGCACUGACCCCUGAGGGCCUUUGUCAGUGAGGUCAUGGCCAGCUCCUCACGUUCUUGCUGAAGACGUCGUCUGCUCCAGUCUGAUGCACUCACAAGGCUUGCGUAGACACGUGCUUCCUUUUUUCUCAUCAGCCCAGCCCCAGUGAACUGGGGGUAUGGGGGACCCAGUGAUGGUUUGGGGAUUUGUGGAAGGGAGGAUGACUGCCCCCACCAAUGAGAAAGAAGCUAACAAAGGCUUUGUGAUGA
Long non-coding RNA from Artibeus jamaicensis (Jamaican fruit-eating bat), 4324 nucleotides. RefSeq lists it as uncharacterized. The transcript has 3 exons. Lineage: Eukaryota; Metazoa; Chordata; Mammalia; Chiroptera; Phyllostomidae. The record is from RefSeq and is a predicted model, not a curated record.